AGUGAACGCUGGCGGUAGGCCUAACACAUGCAAGUCGAACGGCAGCACAGUAAGAGCUUGCUCUUACGGGUGGCGAGUGGCGGACGGGUGAGGAAUACAUCGGAAUCUACUUUUUCGUGGGUGAUAACGUAGGGCCACUUACGCUAAUACCGCAUACGACCUACGGCUUAAAUCAGGGGAUCUUCGGACCUUGCGCGAUUGUAUGAGCCGAUGUCGGAUUAGCUAGUUGGCGGGGUAAAGGCCCACCAAGGCGACGAUCCGUAGCUGGUCUGAGAGGAUGAUCAGCCACACUGGAACUGAGACACGGUCCAGACUCCUACGGGAGGCAGCAGUGGGGAAUAUUGGACAAUGGGCGCAAGCCUGAUCCAGCCAUACCGCGUGGGUGAAGAAGGCCUUCGGGUUGUAAAGCCCUUUUGUUGGGAAAGAAAAGCAGUAGGUGAAUACCCCGCUGUUCUGACGGUACCCAAAGAAUAAGCACCGGCUAACUUCGUG
This 492-nucleotide ribosomal RNA is filed under the name uncultured bacterium. Its description in RNAcentral is "partial 16S ribosomal RNA". It matches the Rfam family "Bacterial small subunit ribosomal RNA", at positions 29 to 507 of the family's 1533-position model. The record is from RNAcentral.